RNAcentral lists this long non-coding RNA (285 nucleotides) under Homo sapiens (human). RNAcentral describes it as "non-protein coding lnc-SUB1-2:1". Lineage: Eukaryota; Metazoa; Chordata; Mammalia; Primates; Hominidae. The record is from RNAcentral.
CUCCCCUCUGCCCUCCCAGUUCUUUCCUCAUUUUCAACUUCAAACUAGGAUACCAAUAAUUCCCAAGGGAAACCAUGUGUCUACAGCAAAUUCUGUUAACAAUUAGGUUAAGGUUUUACUAAUGUCAUCUGUUAACAUAUAAGAAAGAAGUGCGCUUCCUGACUACCAUUACAGAAACUACCAAUUUCCUCAGGUUGGGAAUAAGCAGUGCUUUUUUUUCCCUUAAAUUGGCAGAGUCCCACUCUGUCACCCAUUGCAGUGGCCUUGACCUCCCAUGAUCAGGUG